RNAcentral lists this ribosomal RNA (465 nucleotides) under Vreelandella stevensii. RNAcentral describes it as "partial 16S ribosomal RNA". It matches the Rfam family "Bacterial small subunit ribosomal RNA", at positions 338 to 795 of the family's 1533-position model. Lineage: Bacteria; Pseudomonadati; Pseudomonadota; Gammaproteobacteria; Oceanospirillales; Halomonadaceae. The record is from RNAcentral.
CCUACGGGCGGCAGCAGUGGGGAAUAUUGGACAAUGGGGGCAACCCUGAUCCAGCCAUGCCGCGUGUGUGAAGAAGGCCCUCGGGUUGUAAAGCACUUUCAGUGAGGAAGAACGCCUGGUGGUUAAUACCCAUCAGGAAAGACAUCACUCACAGAAGAAGCACCGGCUAACUCCGUGCCAGCAGCCGCGGUAAUACGGAGGGUGCGAGCGUUAAUCGGAAUUACUGGGCGUAAAGCGCGCGUAGGUGGCUUGAUAAGCCGGUUGUGAAAGCCCCGGGCUCAACCUGGGAACGGCAUCCGGAACUGUCAAGCUAGAGUGCAGGAGAGGAAGGUAGAAUUCCCGGUGUAGCGGUGAAAUGCGUAGAGAUCGGGAGGAAGACCAGUGGCGAAGGCGGCCUUCUGGACUGAAACUGACACUGAGGUGCGAAAGCGUGGGUAGCAAACAGGAUUAGAUACCCCUGUAGUC